This 816-nucleotide ribosomal RNA is filed under the name uncultured beta proteobacterium. Its description in RNAcentral is "bacterial SSU rRNA". It matches the Rfam family "Bacterial small subunit ribosomal RNA", at positions 1 to 796 of the family's 1533-position model. The record is from RNAcentral. Lineage: Bacteria; Pseudomonadati; Pseudomonadota; Betaproteobacteria.
CCGCCAUGGCCUCGGGAUUAGUUUGAUCCUGGCUCAGAGUGAACGCUGGCGGCAGGCCUAAUACAUGCAAGUCGAACGGCAGCACAGCAGAGCUUGCUCUGUGGGCGGCGAGUGGCGGACGGGUGAGGAAUACAUGGGAAUCUGCCCAGUCGUGGGGGAUAACGUAGGGAAACUUACGCUAAUACCGCAUGCGCCCUUCGGGGGAAAGCCGGGGACCUUCGGGCCUGGCGCGAUUGGAUGAGCCCAUGUCGGAUUAGCUAGUUGGCGGGGUAAAGGCCCACCAAGGCGACGAUCCGUAGCGGGUCUGAGAGGACGGCCCGCCACACUGGGACUGAGACACGGCCCAGACUCCUACGGGAGGCAGCAGUGGGGAAUUUUGGACAAUGGGGGCAACCCUGAUCCAGCCAUUCCGCGUGAGUGAAGAAGGCCUUCGGGUUGUAAAGCUCUUUCGGCAGGAACGAAAAGGCUCUCUCUAACAUAGGGGGUCAAUGACGGUACCUGAAGAAGAAGCACCGGCUAACUACGUGCCAGCAGCCGCGGUAAUACGUAGGGUGCGAGCGUUAAUCGGAAUUACUGGGCGUAAAGCGUGCGCAGGCGGCUUUGUAAGACAGAUGUGAAAUCCCCGGGCUUAACCUGGGAACUGCGUUUGUGACUGCAAGGCUCGAGUGCGGCAGAGGGGGGUGGAAUUCCACGUGUAGCAGUGAAAUGCGUAGAGAUGUGGAGGAACACCGAUGGCGAAGGCAGCCCCCUGGGUCGACACUGACGCUCAUGCACGAAAGCGUGGGUAGCAAACAGGAUUAGAUACCCUGGUAGUCC